RNAcentral lists this ribosomal RNA (497 nucleotides) under uncultured bacterium. Its description in RNAcentral is "partial 16S ribosomal RNA". It matches the Rfam family "Bacterial small subunit ribosomal RNA", at positions 28 to 507 of the family's 1533-position model. The record is from RNAcentral.
GAUGAACGCUGGCGGCGUGCCUAAUACAUGCAAGUCGAGCGAACAGAUGAGGAGCUUGCUCCUCUGACGUUAGCGGCGGACGGGUGAGUAACACGUGGAUAACCUACCUAUAAGACUGGGAUAACUUCGGGAAACCGGAGCUAAUACCGGAUAAUAUAUUGAACCGCAUGGUUCAAUAGUGAAAGACGGUUUUGCUGUCACUUAUAGAUGGAUCCGCGCCGCAUUAGCUAGUUGGUAAGGUAACGGCUUACCAAGGCAACGAUGCGUAGCCGACCUGAGAGGGUGAUCGGCCACACUGGAACUGAGACACGGUCCAGACUCCUACGGGAAGCAGCAGUAGGGAAUCUUCCGCAAUGGGCGAAAGCCUGACUGAGCAACGCCGCGUGAGUGAUGAAGGUCUUCGGAUCGUAAAACUCUGUUAUUAGGGAAGAACAAAUGUGUAAGUAACUAUGCACGUCUUGACGGUACCUAAUCAGAAAGCCACGGCUAACUACGUG